CCCAAAGGGUGCAUGGCAACCAUCAUUGAAUAUUUCAACCGUGCUAACAAGUAUAGGACUGUUAUUGAGUGAACCCAAUCCUGAUGACGGUCUAAUGCCUGAAGCGAGCAAGGAGUUCAAAUACAAUAGAAAGGCUUUUGACCAAAAAGCACGAGCUAUGACUGAAAAAUAUGCCGGGACUGGAGCUAGCGGGCACAAUUGCAGGACCUGGUGCAUUCAAACUAAUGCAGAUCUAAGCACAAUGGUGGAAGUUCAACAAUCAGAG
Molecule: unclassified non-coding RNA, 265 nt
Filed under: Hevea brasiliensis (rubber tree)
Lineage: Eukaryota; Viridiplantae; Streptophyta; Magnoliopsida; Malpighiales; Euphorbiaceae
Source: RNAcentral